This 311-nucleotide long non-coding RNA is filed under the name Lathyrus oleraceus (garden pea). Its description in RNAcentral is "Pisum sativum (pea) long non-coding RNA (PSAT_LNC015487)". Lineage: Eukaryota; Viridiplantae; Streptophyta; Magnoliopsida; Fabales; Fabaceae. The record is from RNAcentral.
CAAAUUAGACUAUAGCCCAGAACUUUCAAAAAGAUGCAAAAAAAAAAACAAUUUAUUUUUAUUUUUUUUAUUUUUAUUAUAAUAACUGAAAAAAAAACAAAAAAAACAAAAAAAACAAAAUAAAACAAAGGUCUCCCUCCCCCAGACUUAAAACAAGCAUUGUCCUCAAUGAAAGGACAUAAUUAUUAAAGUAAAGAGAAGGAAAGGACAACUCCCUGAUCAAGUUGUAGUGUAGUUAGGUGCUUCCAAAGAAAGCUCCUCUAUACCGACAUCUUCAGGCACCGAACCUCCAUAGAAUAACUUCAGACGCU